This 253-nucleotide ribosomal RNA is filed under the name uncultured bacterium. Its description in RNAcentral is "partial 16S ribosomal RNA". It matches the Rfam family "Bacterial small subunit ribosomal RNA", at positions 524 to 776 of the family's 1533-position model. The record is from RNAcentral.
UACGUAGGGUGCAGGCGUUAAUCGGAAUUACUGGGCGUAAAGCGUGCGCAGGCGGUUUGCUAAGACAGGUGUGAAAUCCCCGGGCUUAACCUGGGAACUGCGCUUGUAACUGGCAAGCUAGAGUGUGGCAGAGGGGGGUGGAAUUCCAGGUGUAGCAGUGAAAUGCGUAGAGAUCUGGAGGAACACCGAUGGCGAAGGCAGCCCCCUGGGCUAACACUGACGCUCAUGCACGAAAGCGUGGGGAGCAAGCAGG